Amborella trichopoda is the source of this 3415-nucleotide RNA transcript. It is a transcript of the gene named calmodulin-binding transcription activator, with no coding region annotated. NCBI's taxonomy places the organism in Eukaryota, Viridiplantae, Streptophyta, Magnoliopsida, Amborellales, Amborellaceae. The record is from RefSeq and is a predicted model, not a curated record.
CCCUUUGUUCACACCCUUUUCUCUCUCUAGCUUUCUUCGUUUCUCUCAAGGUCUCCUCAUUUUUUUUGUCAAUAGAAACAGUAUUGAAUAGUGUUCCUCUAGUUUAUGUGUUCUUCUUCUUGAUUUCCUCAAUUUCUUUUCAGCGAAGACUGAAAUUCAUGGUUAUACCUUUUGUUUUUUCUAUGUUGUAUGAUAAUUUUAAGAGGCUUUUCUCUUCUUUGGAGGACUAGAAACUUGCGAGGCUUGGGUUAUCUGAGAAUGACUAAGAAUCCAGGAUUGAGUAGAAGGGAUCUCUUAGAGGGCAGCGAAGACUGUUUGUUAGGUUCGGAAAUUCAUGGGUUUCGCACUUUGGAAGAAUUGCAAAUUGGGAAGAUACCCACUGAGGCUACAACGAGGUGGCUGAGGCCUAAUGAGAUCCAUGCGAUUUUGUCUAAUUACAAAUUGUUUAAUGUCCAUGUCAAACCGUUGGACUCUCCAGAAAAUGGUACAAUUGUAUUGUUUGACCGUAAGAUGCUGAGGAACUUUCGCAAAGACGGCCAUGUUUGGAAGAAGAAGCAAGAUGGGAAGACUGUUCGAGAAGCUCAUGAACAAUUAAAAGUUGGUAAUGCUGAGAGGAUCCACGUAUAUUAUGCACAUGGCCUGGAUAAGCCCAAAUUUGCUCGAAGAUCUUAUUGGCUACUGGAUAGUGAACAUGCACACAUUGUCCUGGUACAUUAUCGUGAUACCUCUGAGGAUACUGCAAAUGGUACUAUCUCUUCGCGGAAGGAAUCUAAGGAGGCUUUUUCGUUGUUGGGUCGGCCAAGGGCACUUCAUCUUUCUCCAUCUACUCCAUCGACUUCCAGUUCAGGUUCAAGCUACUUGGACCAACCUGUUAUCUCUUCCGAAGAGAAUAAUCCUGGUGCCGACUCCACUGCAUACAAAUCAGCUGAGAUGGGAAACCAGUUUCUUGGAGCUGGAGAAACGAGAAAUUUUGAGUCAAUCAUUCAUGAAAUAAACACAUAUGAAUGGGAUGAUCUUCUGGGUAUACUUAAUACUGCUCCUGAUGAAGGGAGAGAUUUAUCUUCUGAGAGGGCACAAUGUGACCAAAAGGAUUCUGUAGCUAUUGUUAAUGAUGUACUUCUGUCCAACACCGAGGGAAGGCAUGCCAGCCAUCUGAUGGACUCAAAUUUCAAGAGAAAUUGCGUAGAUCAGGAGGCAGUAAAUCAGUAUACUCAGUCAGCCCCAUCUGAGACGCUAAUCAAUGAUGAUGCAUUGCAGCCACAAGACACUUACAACACAAUUAUGAAUUAUGUUCAGAACAACCCCCCUGGCUCUCCUGGACAAGGGCAAGUUUUCUACAUAACUGACAUUUCACCUGCUUGGGCUUUUGCGACAGAAGAGACAAAGGUUAUAGUGACUGGGUAUCUCCUUGAAACUCAAGCAACUCUUGAGGAGCUCAAUUGGUUCUGUGUGAUUGGUGAUGUCACUGUUCCUGCAGAGAUAAUCCAACCUGGAGUUCUCAGGUUUAUAGCGCCACCUCAUUCUUCUGGAGUAUAUGAUUUUUACUUGACCUUGGAUUGCCGGACUCCUAGUAGUCAGGUUUACAGCUUUGAGUAUCGCCCAUUUUCAAGCAACCAAGUUAAUAACAUUGGUUUUUCACCAAAGGUUGAUGAGCUUGAGUGGGAUGAUUUUGACGUUCAAGUAAGGCUUGCCCAUUUACUAUUCUCUACAACUAAAGGCCUUGCAGUCCUCUAUAGCAAAGAAACUCCAAAGGCCAUGAGGGAAGCAAGAAGAUUUUCGUCCUUAAUCUCCUCAUAUGAAAAAGAGUGGACAUCUCUACUAAAAUCAACAAAGAGUAAAAAUAUAUCACUCUCACAAGCCAAAUCCAAUCUUAUGGAGCUGACCUUAAAAGGGAAACUAUGGGAAUGGCUUCUAGAAACAGUGGUUGAAGGGAGGAGACCAGCUGUCAAAGAUAGUCAUGGGCAAGGAGUUAUACAUUUGUGUGCUAUCCUGGGUUAUGCUUGGGCUAUUUAUCCUAUUUCUGCGUCAGGCAUGUCUAUAAACUUUCGGGAUGCCUCUGGUUGGACGGCUCUACACUGGGCUGCAUAUUGUGGGAGGGAACAAAUGGCCGCUGUUCUCUUGUCCACAGGUGCCAACGCAAGCUUAGUCUCGGACCCCACUCCGGACUGUCCUGGUGGAUGCACUGCAGCUGACCUUGCAUUGAGAAAAGGUUUUGAAGGGAUGGCUGCCUAUCUUGGCGAGAAAGCACUUACUGCUCACUUUAGAGAUAUGCACAUUUCAGGCCACUUGGGUUCCUCAGAUGAGGCCUCUUUGGAAAAUACUAAUGACACUCAGAACCUCACCGAAGAAGAGCUUUGCAUUAGGGACUCGAUGGCAGCAAUUAGAACUGCUGCUAAUGCAGCUUCUCAAAUUCAGGCAGCUUUUAGAGAACACUCUUUUAACCUAAGAAUUAAGGCGGUACAGUUGGCCAAGCCCGAUUAUGAAUGGGCCAUUAUUUCUGCCAUGAAGAUACAGAAUGCUUACAGAGCCCACUCCCAAAGGAAGAGAACUGCUGCUGCAGUUCGAAUACAACAUAGGUUUCGUACAUGGAAGAUAAGGAGAGAGUUUCUAAAUAUGCGGCGGCAAGUUAUUAAGAUUCAAGCGAUUUUCCGAGGCUACCAAGUGAGAAGGCAAUACUGCAAAAUCCUAUGGUCGGUUGGGAUUCUUGAGAAGGGCAUAUUGCGCUGGCGUCAAAAGAGGAAGGGAUUGCGAGGGUUGCAGGUUGAACCCACCACACCUGUUGAAAUAGAAGAGGAUGGGGUGCCUGUUGUGGAAGAGGAUUUCUUUAGGAUUGGACGAAAACUUGCAGAAGAAAGAGUAGAUAGAUCCUUCAAUAGUGUUCAAGUUAUGUUUCAGUCAGACCAAGCUCGAAGGGAUUAUCGAAGACUCAAGCUUAAAGUUGACGCAGCUAUGUUGGAACACGACACAGUUCAUGAUACUGACCAGGACUAAUGGAGACCUCUCUGAAACCAUUGCUGACACCUCUCAAGCCGUUAGUGGCGGCUGUGCUGGAGCAUGCUAAUGGUUGCCCUCAUUUCUUGUAUGAACACCAUCCAGAUAAAAGGUUAUGUAAAGGCAAUACUAGUGGUAGCAGAAGUUUACAGCCUAACAUGAAGCUGGCAUUAUAGCUGGUCAGGUAAGGUUGAUCACCACCGUCCAUCUGGGACUAGAUGGCGGAUAACAUACCAUUAUCCAUACACAUGCAAUACGAUGGUUUAUUUGAUAGUCCAAGGUUUGUAAGGGAUGUCUGAUGAUCUGUUUGUUAACAUUCAUGUUUAUGUAUCUGUGAUCAUUUCUAUGUGUGUUAAUGUCUGAUAUUUGAGGUCAGAUAUGUCUUCCUAAUUGCUUUUGAGUUAUGGAAGUUGGUUUUAACCCA